AACGAACGCUGGCGGCAGGCCUAACACAUGCGAGUCGAGCGAGACCUUCGGGUCUAGCGGCGGACGGGUGAGUAACGCGUGGGAACGUGCCCUUUUCUACGGAAUAGCCUCGGGAAACUGAGCGUAAUACCGUAUACGCCCUUUGGGGGAAAGAUUUAUCGGAGAAGGAUCGGCCCGCGUUGGAUUAGGUAGUUGGUGGGGUAAUGGCCUACCAAGCCUACGAUCCAUAGCUGGUUUGAGAGGAUGAUCAGCCACACUGGGACUGAGACACGGCCCAGACUCCUACGGGAGGCAGCAGUGGGGAAUCUUAGACAAUGGGGGCAACCCUGAUCUAGCCAUGCCGCGUGAGUGAUGAAGGCCUUAGGGUUGUAAAGCUCUUUCAGCUGGGAAGAUAAUGACGGUACCAGCAGAAGAAGCCCCGGCUAACUCCGUG
This 433-nucleotide ribosomal RNA is filed under the name uncultured bacterium. RNAcentral's name for it is "partial 16S ribosomal RNA". It matches the Rfam family "Bacterial small subunit ribosomal RNA", at positions 29 to 507 of the family's 1533-position model. The record is from RNAcentral.